AGGGCCACGCCCACAGCAUAUGAAGGUUCCCUGACUAGGGGUCCAUCAGAACUACAGCUGCCAGCCCAAGCCACAGCUCAUGGCAAUGCAGAAUCCUUAACCCACUGAGUGAGGCCAGGGAUCAAACCUGCAACUUCAUGGUUCCUAGUCGGAUUCGCUUCCACUUUGAACCGUGGACAUCCCUUUUCAUGGCUUACUAUGUGCUCCAACUACAUAAGAACUUUACUGAAAAUUUUUGAGGCAUUGCUGUUGUCCCAAAGGGUUGGGAAGGUCUCUGAGGAUGCAGUCACAUACCAUCUACCCUGCGUUCCCACACAGCUGACAGAAAAUGGAGCAGAACCUUCUCAAAGAAUGGCCAAGGCACUCCCAAAGAAGAAAUGUGCUUUAAUAUGCAAGGGGAUGAUGUUUAUUCUUACAAGCAUCCUACCUUGAAAGGCAUAAAGAGUUCCUAUGAAACUAUGGUGAUUAAAGCUUGUAAUAUUUGGGAAACAAUAACUAUACUGACCAACAGACCAGAAUAGAGUCCAAAGAGAAGCACACUCUUAAGUACAACUGGACAACAUACCAGAAUUUGCCCUUCAGUAUCUUGGAGAAAGGGGAACUAUUCACAAAUUAAGUCUGAGACAAGUGGUUACCCAUGUGCUAAGGACUAAAAUUACAGUCUUACUUCCCAUCAUAAGCAAAAGAUCAAUUAAAAGGGGAUUAAAGUCUUAAUUGUGAAAAGCAAAAUAGAGAAACUAUUAGAGAAAAAUGUCUAACAACUGAAACUUCUUAAGUAAGUCACAAAAUAGUGCUAACCAUGACAAAUUUAAAUUUGACUAUGUUAUAAUUAAAAACUUAUGCUCAUCAUAAGGAACCAUGAAGAAAUUGAAAAGCCAACUACAAACUAAGAGAAAAUAUUUGUCACACAAUUGUUUUUUAGGAGUUCUUUAACAUUAAGGACAUUAAAAAUUCUUGUUAUAUAUGCUGUUAGUAAAACUAAACACAAUGCUAUAUCCUUUUAAACAUUAUGAAUCUGUGUCUAAUAAUUAUAAUUUCUGUGUACCACAUGGAGGAUAAUGCAGUAUUCCAAAAAACAAAACAAAGCAAAAAACCCACAUUUCUCUAGAAGUUGAAUUUUUUAUUAAAAAAUUUGUUUAGACAUAUUCUUUAUAGCUCUUGAGAUAAGCAACAUGCUGCCCUUCUUCUCAAGUAAUGCUGAAACAGGAAUUGCCCAGUUACUGCCACAGCUGUUCCUUUUAUAGCAACCUGAGCUGCUCUGCUCGCUGCUGGACUUAGCUUUGGAAUUUAGAGAGGGCUCAGCUGCCCAUACAGUUCAGAGAAUCAACCUAUGUUGACCUCAUUUUAGCCUAAUACUUUUUUUGAACCUGACAUGUCUAUUUACACGCUGUGAUAUUCAUUAAAUGACCUGUCUAGAUGACGUUGGGUCAAUAUUAUGCCUUACAAUAAAAUUGUGAGUGCUGCAAUAUCUGAUGUAUAAAGUUUUAUAGUGUGAUCAUUGCUCAAACAACAUCAUCUUAGUAUGAUUACAGAUUUCUAGAAUCAUUUCCAAGUGAUGUGAAUUAACAAUAGUGUCAUUCUACCAUUAUAUGCAUAUUUUAAUUUAUACUUAGUGGUUGGUAAUUUAAUAUUAAAAAUGUUAACAGAGCCUUUCUAUUUUUAAAAUUCAUAUUUGUAAGUCUUUAUUUCCAUACACACAUCAUAUAUUUCUAACUUGUUAAGUACAUGAAUGGAGAUGGUAUAAAUUGAUGAACAUAAAUGAAAUUCUUAAUAAUUUAACAUCCUGAAGAAAUUCAGAGGUAGAUAAAUAGGUACAUAUUGAUGUUAUACUGAUGGUACAUUCAAUUGAUCUAUUUUGUUUUCACAUUUUGGCAAAUGAAUAUUCUCUAUUGGUUGCGAAUUGUUCAAAUACUGCAAGAUUAAGAAAAUUGUCAACAUAAAAAAAGAAACACCAGCAUGGAUAAACAGUAUUAAUUUCAAGGGAAAUUUAAUAUUAGUAAUGUUUGUACUAAUCAUAAUAAUGCUUCACACUCUGCAGUUUACAAAGUGUAUCUACAUACCUUGAUUGACACAAAACCUAAAAUCCUGAGAUGUUUAUCUAGAGACCUGUCAUAAAAAUGCCUCAUUUUCUUCAUUCCAAUUCUGAGCAUUUUUAUCAUUCUCUAAACAAACUGUUAACCCCCUGAUGAAAUUGCUUACUCUCUACUAAUGUGGUAUUUCACCAAGUUGUUAUGUGUCCUCUCGAUCUAUUAUUUUUUUUAAGCCCAAUCCCCUCAUCUUCAGUAUCUUUAUAUCUUCCUUGCUUUCAGGUAGCAUAUAAGAACAACUCACAAACCAAAACCUUGUAAAUGUAAAUGCAGAAGUGUCAUGUAAUAAAAUCAUUCUCCAACUUCCAUGAAAUAAUACCUUAAAACCAAGUAAUUAUAUUGUGUGUCUUUCAAAUAGAAAACCCUCCACAGGCUAUCUAUACAUCCCCAAACGUAAUAUUUGGAAAUGUGAUAUGUUCAUGUUUGAAUUGGUAUUUAGAGCUUUUAUUUGAAAUAAACAAAAUUCCAAAUACAAUCAUACUCAAAGUGGCAACACAAUAAUUAACUCUUUCUAUACAUCAAAGAUUACUUUGAUAAAAAUGGUUAACAUUAGUUAUUCUUAAAAUAACUUUUAAAAUUUAAUUAUCAUAAUAUAUGAAUAAGGCCAAAAGAAAGUUAAUAGACCUAAAAUACUUAUUAAAGAAUAAUUUACUUGGAUUUGUAGAUUGUACUUGCUCUCAUUUGCCAUUGCAAAAAAAAAAAAAAAGUCCUAAUUAAAAACCAAAGAAGGAAUGAUGAUGCUUUGAUGCUUUCAUAAGACAUUCAUCAAAAAGAAUCAUCACAAAAAUGUGUUAAUUUAUACACUGAUGUAAAAGCAGAGAUACUAAAAUACAAUUACUGUUAAUAUUACAAAAAGCUAAAUGACCCUUAUCUGGUUUUUUGAGUAUUAAGUAAUCAUGGGUGCUAAGUCUAGUUGUUGACAUAGUACAUACCAGCCACUAUUCUAAAUGUUUACAGAUAUCAACUCGCAGUAAUCCUAAGAAUUAUAAAUAUUAAUCUCAUUUGUCAGAUGAGGAAACCAAAGCACAGAGAGCUUAAAAACCUUGCCUGAAUCCAUACAGCUCCUGAAUAACAAAGCUGGAAUUCAAACCUAGAAAAUUUAUUUUCAUUGUCCAUACUUAACCCUUU
This 3215-nucleotide long non-coding RNA is filed under the name Sus scrofa (pig). RNAcentral's name for it is "lncRNA (ENSSSCG00065024068.1)". The record is from RNAcentral. Lineage: Eukaryota; Metazoa; Chordata; Mammalia; Artiodactyla; Suidae.